GACAGAACCAGUUACGUCAUAGAUACACAUCAUGAACACGCAGGAUCUAUAACAGAGUAAAGUGGCAUCAAGUUUCAUUAUAUUUAUAACAUAUUUAAAACAGACAUAAAAGGUAAAAUAGUCAAAAUAUGGGUACAUCAGACAUCACUGUGUCACAAUCUCAAAACAAACAAGUAUCUAACAAAAAAGCACACAAAGCAUCUAUCAAAUUUAAAAAUCACAUGCAUUGCUUCGCGUGUUUAACGUCAUAAAAUGUAAACGUCACAUAGGAAGAAAUAUAAAAUAAUUUUGCCGUUCAAUGUUUUUUUCAAAAAAAAUAUAAUUUCACAAAUGGUAUACAGGGUUAAAAAAUCAAAAGUAUGUUUGAACUUAUUUCAGAAACAGACCAAGAUUUAAAAUUAUCCAGAAGUUCUUUAGAAUUUUAAAAGUACAGAGUCACGUCAUAUGAACCAAAGAAACACAAAAAGUCGCACAUACGAAACACACCAGCAAAAAUGAAAGAUAAUACUUUACACAUUGACGGGAUGUAUAAGUACCGAGACACGUCAAAUGGAUAUCACAGAAAACAGACCAUUCAACAGUUAAAGUAAUAUUAAUAAUAGAAAAAAGACAAAUGAAAGAACAAUAUAACACGUUUUUAAGAUGAUAAACAACGUCAGUUCGCAGAAUCUAUACAUCAAGACCAUCAUGUAAGUUUUGUGAAGUUGAUACGGAAUAUUUAUCAACUAGGUCUUGGUACCUUCUAAUGAACUUUUUUUUUAGAAAAAGGACGAGACGAUCCUUGACAUACCCCUGGUUCAUCAACUUUCUGCUAAAACACUGGUGACGUUUUACAAAGUCUGAGUACAAGCUACAAUCACUUAGAUAUCGAAUAAGUUGGGAAAUGUAUAUCCCAUAUGCAGGUGAAGUUGGUAUAUUGCUACUAAGGUGGGGCAAAUUGAUAAUUUCAAAAUUAAAAAUCGUCUCGUUUGUCAGAGAC
This 979-nucleotide long non-coding RNA is filed under the name Mytilus galloprovincialis (Mediterranean mussel). The record is from RNAcentral. Lineage: Eukaryota; Metazoa; Mollusca; Bivalvia; Mytilida; Mytilidae.